Molecule: long non-coding RNA, 197 nt
Organism: Juglans microcarpa x Juglans regia
Lineage: Eukaryota; Viridiplantae; Streptophyta; Magnoliopsida; Fagales; Juglandaceae
Exons: 3
Source: RefSeq, a predicted model, not a curated record
AUUGGAAACCACAAUGCACGUGUCAAUGAUAACAAUAACCCUUUCAAAGAAGGAACUGAAUACAUCCUCUGUUGGGUACCAGCCUCCUUUACCUGCAGAACAGGUGAAGGCAUCCACAGAGUUUGAUUAUGAAGGAGAGGGCUCACCAAAUGGUCGUGGUUGGGGCCGCGGUGGCAAAGGAAGGGGAAAGGCUAGAG